CUUGUAAUUGGCUUCACAUAGGU
RNAcentral lists this microRNA (23 nucleotides) under Chrysemys picta (Painted turtle). Its description in RNAcentral is "cpi-miR-9591-5p". The record is from miRBase by way of RNAcentral. Lineage: Eukaryota; Metazoa; Chordata; Testudines; Emydidae.